This 271-nucleotide unclassified non-coding RNA is filed under the name Hevea brasiliensis (rubber tree). Lineage: Eukaryota; Viridiplantae; Streptophyta; Magnoliopsida; Malpighiales; Euphorbiaceae. The record is from RNAcentral.
AACGAUACACAGCAGCAAGACCAGACCUUUCCCUUCACACCACACAGUAACCCCGUGCACUCGCACCCACCAGAUCGGCGCUCUAGCUCUCGUCAUCAUCACUUUCUUCCUCACCAGAAUCUUCGACCAGUCACUCAAUUCCUCUUCCUUCUCAAUCCCUACUUCUGGACAAUACAGAUCCAAGAACGACGUCGUACGCUUCUCCGAUUCCGGUGGGUCCAUCUUUUGGCCACAACGCGGGUAUGGGACCCAUCUUUCACUGAAGAUUUAU